AAAUAAUAUAGUCGUUUCGGUGUCGGGAAAUCCGGUGAAAGACCGGUGCGGCCCCGCCGCUGUAACCCCGAUGAAAUCGCAGGUUUGCCACUGCCUUUUGGUGGGAAGGCGCGAAAGUAAGAUGAAGGGAAGCCAGAAGACCGGCCGAAAUGCGUGAGUGCUA
This 163-nucleotide non-coding RNA is filed under the name Acetomicrobium mobile. The record is from RNAcentral. Lineage: Bacteria; Thermotogati; Synergistota; Synergistia; Synergistales; Acetomicrobiaceae. RNAcentral also lists the same sequence under 1 other name.